AGAUCAUGAAGAGUGAAGUGUUACGAGUCACCCAUGAACUCCAAGCCAUGAAGGACAAGAUCAAAGAGAACAGUGAGAAAAUCAAAGUGAACAAGACCCUGCCAUACUUUGUCUCCAACAUUAUUGAGCUAUUAGAUGUUGAUCCAAAUGACCAAGAAGAGAAUGGUGCCAAUAUUGACCUGGACUCUCAGAGGAAGGGCAAGUGUGCAGUGAUCAAAACCUCUACACAACAGACAUACUUCCUGCCUGUAACUGGGUUGCUGGAUGCUGAAAAGCUGAAGCCAGGAGACCUGAUGAGUGUGAACAAAGACUCUGAUCCCGGAGAUCCUGCCCACAGAGUAUGACUCACUGGUGAAGGCCAUGGAGAUGGAUGAGAGGCCCACAGAGCAAUACAAUGACAUCGGGAGCUUAGACAAGCAGAUCCAGGAGCUGGUAGAAGCCAUUGUCAGGACAAGGAACCACAAGGAGAAAUUUAAGAAUUUGGAGAUCCAGCCUCCAAAUUGGGUGCUAAUGUACGCGCCUCCAGGGACAAGGAAAACUUCACUGGCCCGGGCCUGUGCUGCACAGACUAAGGCCACCUUCCUAAAGCUCGCUGGCCCCCAGCUGGUGCAGAUGUUCACUGGGGAUGGUGCCAAGUUGGUCCAGGACACCUUCACCUUGGCCAAGGAGAAAGCUCCAUCUAUUAUUUUCAUUGAUGAGUUGGAUGCCAUUGGCACCAAGCGCUUUGACAGUGAGAAGGCGGGGGCGGGGGACCAGGAGGUACAAAGGACAAUGCUGGAGCUUACCAACUGGAUGGCUUCCAGCCCAACACACAAGUAAAGGUAAUUGCAGGGUGGGCAUCCUGGCCCUUGCCCUGUCCGCUCAGGCUGUCUGGACCGCAAGAUCGAGUUCCCAAUGCCUAAUGAGGCCCAGGAGAGAAUCAUGCAGAUCCACUCCCAAAAGAUGAAUGUCAGUCCUGACGUGAACUAUGAAGAGCUGGCCCGCUGCACAGAUGAUUUCAAUGGGGUCCAGUGCAAAGCUGUGUGUGUGGAGGCAGGCAUGACCACACUACACAAGGGUGCAACAGUGCUCACCCACGAGGACUGCAUGGAAGGGUAUCCUGGAGGUGCAAGCCAAGAAGAAAGCCAACCUAUAGUACUAUGCCUAGGGGUCCCCCCGGCCUGCCCUUGGUUUCCUGGUGGUUAAAGUGUAUAAUAAAAGAUGGU
RNA transcript from Otolemur garnettii (small-eared galago), 1205 nucleotides. It is a transcript of the gene named 26S proteasome regulatory subunit 6A pseudogene, with no coding region annotated. The record is from RefSeq and is a predicted model, not a curated record. Lineage: Eukaryota; Metazoa; Chordata; Mammalia; Primates; Galagidae. The transcript has a single exon.